UACGAAGGGGGCUAGCGUUGCUCGGAAUUACUGGGCGUAAAGCGCACGUAGGCGGAUUGUUAAGUCGGGGGUGAAAUCCUGGAGCUCAACUCCAGAACUGCCUUCGAUACUGGCGAUCUCGAGUUCGGGAGAGGUGAGUGGAACUGCGAGUGUAGAGGUGAAAUUCGUAGAUAUUCGCAAGAACACCAGUGGCGAAGGCGGCUCACUGGCCCGAUACUGACGCUGAGGAGCGAAAGCGUGGGGAGCAAACAGG
This 253-nucleotide ribosomal RNA is filed under the name uncultured bacterium. RNAcentral's name for it is "partial 16S ribosomal RNA". It matches the Rfam family "Bacterial small subunit ribosomal RNA", at positions 524 to 776 of the family's 1533-position model. The record is from RNAcentral.